This 848-nucleotide long non-coding RNA is filed under the name Ananas comosus (pineapple). RNAcentral describes it as "long non-coding RNA (ACOM_LNC002468)". The record is from RNAcentral. Lineage: Eukaryota; Viridiplantae; Streptophyta; Magnoliopsida; Poales; Bromeliaceae.
UUUUUAGUUUAAAUUUUUAGAUUUAUCUUUCAAAAAAUUCUAACAAUUUCAAAUAUAUUUCUAUUGUUAGUGUUCGUUAAAACAAAUAUAAUUAGCCGUAAGUAAAAUACUUAAUUUUGGUUAAUAAGUGAGAUAAAUUAACUUUUUUGCUUCUAUGAUAUUAUAACUUCUUCUCUCCAUAAAACUAUAGCAAUGAAUUUUUUUUGCUUUUCCUCGUUCUUUUUCUUUUUCGCACUAAUUUUGAAUCCGUAACUAGAAUUUUUCUGUCCGUGUUGCUUCGCUCAUGUUGAGCGCCGGGUGGAUUAAUUUGAUAUAUUUUAGGUUGAUGUUUUGUUAAUUUAUUUAUUUUUAAUAUAGUUUAUUGAAAAUUUUUAAUUUUUUAUAUUAUUUUUUUUAUUUUGCUCAAAAGAAAAAGUUUAAGAGAGAAAUGUUAGAUGUGGCUUACGUGAUUUAUUUAAGGCGAUUUAUAAAGAUACAGUUAGUCUAUUCAAGUCGAUUUAUAAAUAUACAGUAGAUCUAAUAGUUAGGAUGUAUCUGAACACGUUCUUAAUGGACGAACAUGAUUUAACAUCCUUAUAUUAAGUUAUAUAUAAAUAUGUAAUAUACGGGAGUCCCGGUCUAAUCCUAAUUCAAUUUUCUGUGACGGCUCCAUCUUCGGAGGUAAAGGAAUUAGACUCGAAACUUUCUGCUCUCUUGCAGAUCACGAACGAGGACAAACCACGAACAAAAACCGUCGCCAACAAAUUAGGUACAGAAAUCAAAAUUAUAGCAGAAGGUAGAACCUUAGUUUCUAAUAAAAUUUUAAUAUUUGGUAUCAGAGCAACAUCUUUCGCGAAAUUUUCGUUUCU